GGCGCGCUCUGCCGUGCGGGGCGGAGCUCCCUGGAGCGGAGGUGGAGCCACCGAGCCCGGCGGAGCCGACCCGCCCUACCCACCCGAGGUGCCGAGCGAGGGGAGGAGCGGCGCCCGGACCCCGCGCUGGCGGAGCGCCCUCCAAGGGAAUCUGGCCUUAAUGUGAUAGAAAGACUCUUGAUCUUGGUGUCCAAAAGACAAAGGUUUGAAUUUCAGCUCCGUUAGUUUUACUGUGAUCUUGGCUGGAUGUCACGAUGACAACAGUAACGGGGACCGCGACAGUGCCCCAGAGGGGGAAGACGGAAGAUGAUUCUGCCUUGUACGAGUCCCCAUCAGCUCACAUUACUGAAGAGACCGAAUACGUGAGAAAGAUUCGAACUACUCUGGAAAAGAUCCGAAAUCAAAUAUUUAGAGAUGAAGUAAGACAUAACAGUACAAAUCACAACCUAGAUGCAAAGCGCUGUGGAAACAUUCAAAAUGGCUCUGACUCUGCAGUGGAUUCCUCUGGUGGCAGUUUGGAUCCGCUCAUGGAAAGGAUAAAAGGAAAAGACCUACAGCUCUUAGAAAUGAACAAAGAGAAUGAAGUGUUGAAAAUCAAGCUCGAAGCCUCCAGAGAAGCAGGAGCAGUGGCUCUGAGAAAUGUGGCCCAGAGAUUAUUGGAAAACUAUCAAACACGGUCUGAAGAAGUUAGAAAGAAGCAUGAGGACAGGAGACACCUCCUCCAGGUUGACAAACUUGAAAAAGAACAGAAAUUGAAACAACAUGUUGAAAAUCUGGAUCAAAUUGCUGAAAAGCUUGAAGAAAAACAUAAGCAAAUCACAGAGUUGGAGAAUCUUGUACAAAGAAUGGAAAAGGAAAAGAGAACACUGCUAGAAAAAAAACUGUCUUUGGAAAACAAGCUGCUGCAUCUCAAAUCCAACGCUACAAAUGCUAAAAGUUGCCAGGAUCUUCAAAAGGAGAUUUCCCUCCUCCAGGAGCAGAUCUCACAUCUGCAGUUUGUGAUUCACUCCCAGCAUCAGAACCUGCGCAGUGUCAUCCAGGAGGUCAGGUUGAUCAAGUGUGUUUCUCUGGCAGAUGGUAUGUUUACAGCGAGAAGACCAAAUACACGCGCCUUGUCUGGACUCUGCAACUGAGAUUCUUCUCCCCACUGACGUUUCCUUUUUAUUCCCAUGAGACAUGGCUCUGUUUUCAGUGUCCUCUUUUGUCUCUUUGCCCACACCUGUGAUGUUCUCAAUGAACAUAUUUGGAAAAUUAUAUUUACUCUUUAGAGGUUUCAGUGAUUUUUUUUUUUUUUUACAGUGUUCUGAGCCAGGUAAUGUACACUGUUCUUUAGAAGAUUUUUUAGAUUAAGAGAUUCAGCCUUCUUAGGGAAGAAAUGAUCUAUUUUCAUUAUUUCAUGAAAAACGGUUAAUUUACAUAGUGGGUGUGUUAGCACAGGGAUGCGUUCGGGCCCUUCUUCACUGGAAACAUCUCGGCAGGUGAAAGAGGUCAUUGUGAUGGCAGCCAGAUGGAUGGUAAAUUACACAUUCAAUUUACGUCAAUAUUUAUAUUGAUCUGAUUUGGGAAUUUGCUUUAGACUUAAAACCAGACCUUCAUUUUUGUUUGCUAUAUAAUAUUCGUUUCUAAAUGGAGUCCUUCCAAAUAAUGCAAAUGCCUUUCUAACACAAUUGCAGAAUUUGUACUUGGUUGGCUAGAUCUCACCAAAAGGCCAAAGAGUUGAAUCGUGGCAAUUUGAGAGCCAGGGAGGAUGGAGGGGGCAUCCCAUUUUACAGAUGAGAAGGCUGAGGUCCACAGUAGUUAAAUGGCAGAAGUGGCCUUGGAAUCCACAUACUUCCUCUCUCAUGGCAUCAUCCUGGACUUCAUCACCCCACCUCCCCAUCACCCCCACGUUGCCUCUUAGCAGAUGUUCCUCCAAAGCAAAGUGGACUUACCUUAACAUGCUGCUGGUUGACCAGAUCUCCGUUGCAGGGAGUCGCCCUGUGCCAGGCUGUGGCUUUCCACCAUGUCCACCAGCCUCUGCUUCUGCAGGAGGAAAGCAUUAUGGGACUGAGUCACAGACAAGGACCCGUGUUGCUUCCUACAGGAUGCAUCCUGCUGAGCUUGGCUUAAACAGAUGGAGGCCUUAAAAAAUAAUUUGAAAGAACAAGAUAAGAGAAUUGAAGAUCUGCAAGAAAAAGUUAACAUACUGGAAGCCCAG
Molecule: RNA transcript, 2197 nt
Organism: Bubalus bubalis (water buffalo)
Lineage: Eukaryota; Metazoa; Chordata; Mammalia; Artiodactyla; Bovidae
Gene: CCDC68
Gene name: coiled-coil domain containing 68
Exons: 10
Source: RefSeq, a predicted model, not a curated record